Molecule: long non-coding RNA, 751 nt
Filed under: Homo sapiens (human)
Lineage: Eukaryota; Metazoa; Chordata; Mammalia; Primates; Hominidae
Description: HSALNT0017004
Source: RNAcentral
GAGGAUCAGUAAAAAGUAAAUAAAUAAAUACAAUUUAAAAAGAAAGAGAGUAUGUGAGGACACCAAGGAGUGUGGCUAAUGUGGUUAACCCUGACCCGAGGACAAGAUAGGUUAUUAAUUUUGAUCUCCCAGACUUAGGAUUGCCACGAAAAUACAUAGUUGAGAGGCAGGGGCUAGACAGUGGGGAAUGGAAAGCAAGUGUCUGAUUCCAGAGGAAAGCAGAGAGUUGCCACGGUAGGAGGAGAAAAACUCUCACCUGAGAGAUCAUAGUCCCUGGCUUGGGAAGACCUAAUGCAAGAACCGGGAGAAGAAACCACCAAAAAAUUUGCCUAACCAGCUGACAAGUCACUGCCGUGGGGUGGCUCUGAGCUGUGCUGUGUCUCCCUCCUUCCUUGGCCAUGGCCCCAUCUUCCCCAUGUGGUUGGACAUUCUCACCACUGGGACGUCAGGAGGUAUAGAGUUUAAUUCAGGUUCUUCCACCAACUAGUUCUGUGGCUCCUGUUUAAUCUCCAGAAGCUUCAUCUGAAUAUUCCUUUCAGGGAAAGCACACCAGCUAGAGCCGUGGUGGGGAGAAUGGCUUGAUCUACAUAACCCACUAGGUAUUUUUUCAGAUCUUAAAAGACUGAGAAACUGUCACAGCCAAGAGGAGCCUAAGCAGACAUGACAACUAAGUAGAGUGUGGUAAACUGAAUGGGAUUCUGGGACAGAAAAGAGGCACUGGGGGAAACAGAAAAUCUGAAUGAAGUGCAGA